AUGGGCCAACUGUGUGACGGCUUCGGGCUCGACCUCCACCCUUUGUGAACACAACUUGUUGCUUCGGGGGCGACCCUGCCGUUUCGACGGCGAGCGCCCCCGGAGACCAUCAAACACUGCAUCUUUGCGUCGGAGUUUAAGUAAAUUAAACAAAACUUUCAACAACGGAUCUCUUGGUUCUGGCAUCGAUGAAGAACGCAGCGAAAUGCGAUAAGUAAUGUGAAUUGCAGAAUUCAGUGAAUCAUCGAAUCUUUGAACGCACAUUGCGCCCUUUGGUAUUCCGAAGGGCAUGCCUGUUCGAGCGUCAUUUCACCACUCAAGCCUGGCUUGGUAUUGGGCGCCGCGGUCAAUCCGCGCGCCUCAAAGUCUCCGGCUGAGCUGUCCGUCUCUAAGCGUUGUGAUUUCAUUAAUCGCUUCGGAGUGCGGGCGGCCGCGGCCGUUAAAUCUUUCACAAGGUUGACCUCGGAUCAGGUAGGGAUACCCGCUGAACUUAAGCAUAUCAAUAAGUCGGAGGAAU
This 517-nucleotide ribosomal RNA is filed under the name uncultured Septoria. Its description in RNAcentral is "eukaryotic LSU rRNA". The stretch from base 154 to 307 matches the Rfam family "5.8S ribosomal RNA". The record is from RNAcentral. Lineage: Eukaryota; Fungi; Ascomycota; Dothideomycetes; Mycosphaerellales; Mycosphaerellaceae.